This is a long non-coding RNA of Carcharodon carcharias (great white shark), 1519 nucleotides long. RefSeq lists it as uncharacterized. The record is from RefSeq and is a predicted model, not a curated record. Lineage: Eukaryota; Metazoa; Chordata; Chondrichthyes; Lamniformes; Lamnidae. The transcript is spliced from 3 exons.
CACAGGGGGCCCAUCAGUGUCACCACAUUAGCUUGGGAGGCAAUGGUAAUGGUGGUCACUACCAAUGCUGCACAGAAGAGGUUGGCCAUCUAGUGCAGAAAGAGGAUGAAUGAAUACAUCCGUGCUGCCAGGACUCAGAAUGCCUUCAUGAGAACUACCGAACCACACACAACCUCUUACAACAUGGUGGCGUCUAUCAGAACAAUGCAGCGCCUCACAGAAGCUGAAGAAGAAAUUUAAAAGCUGGAAGAUUGAAAAAGCAACAUUCUGACCCGAUGAAAAGCACCAGAAGUGAAGGUGCAGAAGGAUCACCAGAGAAAAGCUCCAAAGCAGGAUUGGAAGCAGAAGGCAGAAAUAAAACUCCUCACUGCAGCAGUAGACUCCAUUGAAUCCCUUGGAAGUCCAGCUUCAAUAUCCAUAGAGUGCAGAGUCAGAAGAUCCAGCAGGGGUGAGCUAAAACACUUAAGUUUUUUCACCAGAAUGAGUUUUUAAAAGCUCUUAAGUCAGCAGCAGUCAGAAUUGCCAUUUUAAAAUGCACCAUGAACAGCCCAAGUCCCAUCUAGCGCCUGAACACGUGGAGGCCAGCUCGCUCCGAUUGAAAAAAAAGAUUGAAAAUAUGAUUGGCUGUUAAAAAACCAUAAAAGUCAGGAAUUGACAAUUUCAUGAUCUGAAAAUACUUAAGAUACUUUGGAGAAAACUCAAAAAGGUCGAUCCAGGAAUCACUGCUGAAAAUUUAAAAUGCAGAAAUUACCAAUACUGCGGGACCCCAUAAAAACUGACAAGCAUGGGAAACCAUGUUGUGAAUUUGCAUACAACAUCACCAUCUUGGAUUUCCUUGCAGCAUUUAAAGCUAUUCAUGCUUCUAAUUUUAAAUGACUAUGGAUCAAAAAUCUAUCUUACUUGACCAGUCUGGAUUCUCCUAAGCUCCAGACCAGUCACAAAAUUGGAAACUUUUGAAAAUGAGAUUCCUUAGAUACAAGAUUGCUUCAGAUCAAGAUAAGAAGACAGAAGCUGAACAGGUUAACACACUGCUUUAUUCGGAAUACACAAGAAAAAGUAUUUUAAAAAGACCAACCGCAACCCUAGUUCUGUAUGCUAGUCUGGUGUUCUGUUCUGGUGUGUGUGUGUUAUGAAGGUCACCGCUGAAGAACACCAUCUGGGCAUCCCUUCACUUGCAGGUUAAAAAGUCCACUCCCUCUAAUUGCUGGAAGCAAGUCACAAGUCAGCAAAGCCACAGUCGAAAAGGAAACAGGGCGACUCCUUUCAGCUAACCUGCAGAACCAAGAAUUUCCAAACCAACUGCUCAACUACCAAAGUUAGCAUUAUUGGAACCACCCCAACUUAACAGCCGCAACGUUUCACCAUCUACUUCUCAUGGACAAGCCAAAGGACUGAUUCAUAUCUAUUUUUAACUUUUAUUUUUGGACUCAAUUUCUCAUGUCUAAUCUGUGUAUAUGUUUGUUGUGUUUUUAUCAUUUUUCCUUGUGUUUGGUAACUAAUAAACUCAUUUUUUCUUUGA